CUUGUUGGACUACCCAGCUUCUGACUCACGAGGUUUGGCAGACAGCCCCACAACUUGCAUUUCUCAAACAAGAUCCCAGGUCACACUAACACUGCAGCCCAAGACCACACUUGGCGGACCAGUGCGCUCAAUGAUGGAAGAGCCAAUGUAUGACUAACUUCUCACGAGUUUUUGCCUCCCCAGUGUUCUUGAAGCCAAUGCAUGCCGGUGUGGAUAGUAAGCAGAAGACUCGAGCAGGGUAGAAAUCCAGAUGAAUUAAGAUGCACGUAUUUUUUAACCUUUCCUCCAGCGAGGAGUACAUCAGUUCCUACAAGUUGAACUGCAACAUAAAGUAAAUAGAUCUGCUCUGAGAAAAGGUAGAAGAUGCUGCUGGCUUCAGUUUGCAGCAGGAAAUUGCUUGACUGGAGUACCUUCUGAUGGCAAGCUCAUUUCACAGACGUUUGUAGAGAAGGUCUCCAAGCAACAGAAUCUUAAAAAUGAAAUAUUCAUUUUCUGAAGCCUAAUUUAAUUCCAGCAUUGACUGGGUUGCAGAGCGUAUCAGAUCACAGGAUCUGAAAAAUUCUCUGGGUAACAAAGAAUCAAGCAUUUAGUUCUACAUAAUGAUUGCUGGUCCAUUAGACAAAGUUUGCUGAAUUUGAUUCUGCUUUUGGGGAACCAGACCCAUAACAGUUGGUAUGAGAAGUGGGUGGAGAAAGCAGAUGUGAACAUGGAGCCGAACUGCCAGCUGCCUGAAUGGCAAGAAAGACUCGUUGUUGGUGCUCGGGUCCUGGCUGACUGGCCCGUUAUCCUCUGGCUGGCGGAAGCGGACAGAUGGCCAGAGGCCUCCUCCGUCGGGGGACCCUGUGGGGCACAGCCACCCCCGCCCCCUCAUGAGGACAGAAAACGGCGCCCUCUCUGGGCUGACACGGUCGCACGCGUGGUGCGCAGACUCGAUAUCAGCCCCUGCGCUGCUCUGGGGGCCCUCGUGCGGGGGACAGCAUGGACGAUGGCCUUGAGGACAGCCUAGGCCUGGUGCACGCGCCUUGGGCAGAAGCCUCUCGCUGGGGACCCUGCUGGGACCAUCGUGCAGGAAGAUGCAGAUAAUGGCGAAGCCACAGGAGAUGGCUCAGAAACAAGAGAGACAGUCUCUGAAUCACAGGAUGGAAGAAAGCUGCCAACUGUCCCGCCGCGGAUUGUCGGGUAAGUGAGAAAGGAGAUCCUAUUUUUUUUUCUUUGUUCAGCCAUAUACGUUUUAGGGGCUGUUUGUUAUAGCUGUUUAAACUGUAAAGGUUGUGCCUAUAAAGAUAAAUCUGGCCUCAUCUAAUUCUCUCCUUGUUCUAAGAAGGAAGCAGAAAAUCAGGGAGGGAUGGUAACUUGCCCGCAUUUACACAGUUACGGUAGAAUGAAGAUUCACCCGAGGUCUCUUCGCCUGUAUCUGGCUGAUCCCCCAAGAGAUGGAACAGGUGAAUGAAACUUGGGUUCCAGAUGGCUGGUUCAUGGCCAGGAUCUAGGCCAAAGGUGUGUUUUCUGUUUUCUGUACAAGGUUUUAAAAUAACAUGAAUUAGGGGCACCUGGGUGGCUCAGUC
This is a long non-coding RNA of Leopardus geoffroyi (Geoffroy's cat), 1565 nucleotides long. RefSeq lists it as uncharacterized. NCBI's taxonomy places the organism in Eukaryota, Metazoa, Chordata, Mammalia, Carnivora, Felidae. The transcript has 7 exons. The record is from RefSeq and is a predicted model, not a curated record.